AGUGGGGAAUCUUAGACAAUGGGGGCAACCCUGAUCUAGCCAUGCCGCGUGAGUGAUGAAGGCCUUAGGGUUGUAAAGCUCUUUCAGCUGGGAAGAUAAUGACGGUACCAGCAGAAGAAGCCCCGGCUAACUCCGUGCCAGCAGCCGCGGUAAUACGGAGGGGGCUAGCGUUGUUCGGAAUUACUGGGCGUAAAGCGCACGUAGGCGGAUCGGAAAGUUGGGGGUGAAAUCCCGGGGCUCAACCUCGGAACUGCCUUCAAAACUACUGGUCUUGAGUUCGAGAGAGGUGAGUGGAAUUCCGAGUGUAGAGGUGAAAUUCGUAGAUAUUCGGAGGAACACCAGUGGCGAAGGCGGCUCACUGGCUCGAUACUGACGCUGAGGUGCGAAAGCGUGGGGAGCAAA
This 402-nucleotide ribosomal RNA is filed under the name uncultured Paracoccus sp. RNAcentral describes it as "bacterial SSU rRNA". It matches the Rfam family "Bacterial small subunit ribosomal RNA", at positions 353 to 772 of the family's 1533-position model. The record is from RNAcentral. Lineage: Bacteria; Pseudomonadati; Pseudomonadota; Alphaproteobacteria; Rhodobacterales; Paracoccaceae.